This 253-nucleotide ribosomal RNA is filed under the name uncultured bacterium. RNAcentral's name for it is "partial 16S ribosomal RNA". It matches the Rfam family "Bacterial small subunit ribosomal RNA", at positions 524 to 776 of the family's 1533-position model. The record is from RNAcentral.
UACGUAGGUGGCAAGCGUUGUCCGGAAUUAUUGGGCGUAAAGGGCUCGCAGGCGGUCUUCUAAGUCUGAUGUGAAAUCUUGCGGCUUAACCGUAAGCGGUCAUUGGAAACUGGAGGACUUGAGUACAGAAGAGGAGAGUGGAAUUCCACGUGUAGCGGUGAAAUGCGUAGAGAUGUGGAGGAACACCAGUGGCGAAGGCGACUCUCUGGGACGGUACUGACGCUGAGACGCGAAAGCGUGGGGAGCGAACAGG